UCCUCCGUAGGGGUAACCUGCGGAGGGAUCAUUACACAAAUAUGAAGGCGGGCUGGAACCUCUCGGGGUUACAGCCUUGCUGAAUUAUUCACCCUUGUCUUUUGCGUACUUCUUGUUUCCUUGGUGGGUUCGCCCACCACUAGGACAAACAUAAACCUUUUGUAAUUGCAAUCAGCGUCAGUAACAAAUUAAUAAUUACAACUUUCAACAACGGAUCUCUUGGUUCUGGCAUCGAUGAAGAACGCAGCGAAAUGCGAUAAGUAGUGUGAAUUGCAGAAUUCAGUGAAUCAUCGAAUCUUUGAACGCACAUUGCGCCCUUUGGUAUUCCAAAGGGCAUGCCUGUUCGAGCGUCAUUUGUACCCUCAAGCUUUGCUUGGUGUUGGGCGUCUUGUCUCUAGCUUUGCUGGAGACUCGCCUUAAAGUAAUUGGCAGCCGGCCUACUGGUUUCGGAGCGCAGCACAAGUCGCACUCUCUAUCAGCAAAGGUCUAGCAUCCAUUAAGCCUUUUUUUCNACUUUUGACCUCGGAUCAGGUAGGGAUACCCGCUGAACUUAAGCAUAUCAUAACCGGGAGGAAAG
RNAcentral lists this ribosomal RNA (577 nucleotides) under Alternaria brassicae. RNAcentral describes it as "eukaryotic LSU rRNA". The stretch from base 200 to 353 matches the Rfam family "5.8S ribosomal RNA". The record is from RNAcentral. Lineage: Eukaryota; Fungi; Ascomycota; Dothideomycetes; Pleosporales; Pleosporaceae.